Monopterus albus (swamp eel) is the source of this 1249-nucleotide long non-coding RNA. RefSeq lists it as uncharacterized. Lineage: Eukaryota; Metazoa; Chordata; Actinopteri; Synbranchiformes; Synbranchidae. The record is from RefSeq and is a predicted model, not a curated record. The transcript has 6 exons.
CGUUUUCUUGGCCCUUACAGCUUGCAUAGGCUAGAUAGGCAACAGUAACGAGAGAUGGCAGACUGAGAGGUUUUCCUAAGUGGAAUCGUUUAUCAGCUGAUACUAUUUUGAGCCGGACUGGAUGGUAUUUUUGAAACGCUCGGCCUGAUAGCUGUUCCGGAUGUUAUAAUCAACAGUCAGCACCGUGCGCAUGUUGAAUCUGCCCAGGAGAGUUUGUCUUCCGAUGCCAGAAGUCCGCCUCUUGAAAUUCCAGUUGAAGCACUACAAACUGUAGUGCUUUCUGGCAUAAACAUCCGAGAUCUAGCGAAUGUGUUUGCUGUAUCACUCAGCACUUUUCGGAGGAGAAUGGCGGAAGAAGGCCUAAGGAUUUCGACUUAUGGAUUCCAUGAGAUGUCAGUCCAGAGUUGUCCCUUUAGACCGCGAGGUGCCCUGUUCCAGGUGCAAACUGCCUUUGGCUUAUCGAUGCAAAUCACAAACUAAUUCGCUGGAGAAUUGUCCAUGGUGGGAUGGAUGCUUUUUGAAGGCUACUUGUCUACCUCCACGCUACCAACACAGCCACAGCUGUUUUUGAUGGUUUCUUGUCAGAAGUCUGGCCAUAUGGCAUACCAUCACAAGUCUGAUCAGACAAAGGGAGGUGAAAAUGUGAAGGUUGUUCACUUCAUGGUCCAGAUGAUGGGGUCAGAACAGGAACUCGCGUUACAGGCAGAAGUGUCCACAACCAGCGCAUUGAGCGGCUGUGGUGAGAUGUGUAUGAAAGUGUCCCGUCCUGCUGGAGGCCCAGGGGCUGCUCAGUCCUGGUGAAGAAUCCGACCUGCUCGCACUGCACAGAUCAUAUUCACCAUCAGCUCUGGUCACUGGUGGUGGCAUGGAUUCAACAAGGACUGAACAGCAGGCAACCGUUCACCCCUGCAGCUGUGGUUACUGCACAGAAAGGAAGAACAAGAGUUUUCACAGGACCGGACCACGUAAUCACCGUCCAUCGACUAUGAUCACCAUUCCUGACAUUCAGCUCCCACUGGCACCAGAUGAUGGAGAACUUGCAGCAUUCCCACUCACUCACUCAAGCUUUGGUAUUUUACUUUGAAAUGGAUUCAACGCUGUAACACUUUGAACCCAGCGGCUGCAAAAUGUGUGACGAUUCUCACUCCUCCUUUUCAGUCGGUGCUCAGGCAGUAUCCUGUAAAGCCUGUACACACUGCCCACUUACGGUCCCAGGUGGAGGAUAAAUAUAAAUCUGCUUCUAAAAGGA